UGUGGUUCAAAAUAAGAUAGAAAAAAAUAAAAUGUAAUUUAACAAAAUACCAAACAGGGACUUAAUAUAACUUAUUAGAAUAGUAAUUUAAAUAAGUUUUUAUGUCCAAAAUUAAUUAAAACUAAAACUAGGACAUAACACUUAGAGAAUCAACCCGAAAUGGUCACGAAGUAAAUUUAAUGACCAAGUCUAUAUCUAAAUGCUCGAUAUUCCAGCAAUUGCUUCCAAUUCCUGGACCAAAGUCUUAAUAAAAUUGUUUUGGGUAUCCUUAUCAAGCAGAAACUCCUUCCAUUUCUUCUGAUUAGCUCUUAUGGACUUUCCCGGUUCUUUAUUAAUGUUAAACAUGACUGUUUCAACAGCACUCUUAAUAUCCUCUUUUGCGAAGAACCCAUCUUCAUCCCUUCUAUUGACCUCCACUCCAGACUUAAGGUCUCCAUGUACUAGCUUAGAAUUCACGAAUUGGUCGCCCUUUUGGGGCAACAUAACCAGCUGGCAGUCAUUCACAAUAGCCUCAAUCACUGAGCUGAAUCCUGCAUGACAUAAAUAACAACCCACGCUUUUGUGGGCCAAAAUCUGCUGCUGUUGGACCCACCCAGUGUGAAUUAUUCCUUUACCUUCAACUCUACCCAAGAACCCUUGAGGCAGUGCCCUCUUUAGCUCAGCUGAGACGUCAACAUUUGCAGGAAAAUUUAAGACGAGAAAAAAUGGAAGACCAGUGAGUUCUAGCCCUAAAGCUAGUUCUUUAAUUUGAUCAUCAGUUAAGAAUGUUUCACUCCCAAAAGAACAGUGAAUGACAGAGUGAGCUUCAAAUUUGUCUAACCAUUUAGCCCAUUUUUCCUCCAGGUGAUCUGGUGGAGGCUCCGGGACUACUGGGCCGACUAAAAGAACUGGUUUCUUAAACUGGGACUUGACGUAAUUUAUAUAAGGUGCUUCCAUUUCAUUACAAGUCUUGGCAAGUAUAACCGAGCAGCCCUGCAGGCCCGAGAGGACACGGUCAUACACACAAGGUUUUCCAUGAAAACGCUUGAAAAUGUAGAGAAAAUCUCGAGCCUCAAAAGUUCUGAGCGAGGUUACAGAGGUUUGAGGGAACCCCGGGGGAGGUUUUUUCAUUUCUUCAACUGUGGGAGAUCUUCCAGGUUCAGGAAGCCUAGCCGGAACAGUAACAAAUGCAGUUGAGAGAGCAAUGAACACGGAGUAGAACACUGUUUGUAUACCCAAUUCAUUGGCUAACUUAGGGAGCCAUUCUUGAGCAAAAUCAAAAAGUACAAAUUGGGGUUUGAGUUGUGAUAACAGUGUUUUUAUCUGAGGUUGCAUAAGAUCAAGAGCAACCUUGAGGAGUUCAGAUUGAGUUGGAUUCAGUUCGGCCGUGCUCUCAACGCCCGGAGGAAGACCCUCAACGUGCGGUAUAGUGAGAGGGAUUAUUUGGCUAGUGGAAGCGUCGUUGAGCAUUGACCUUAUGCGAUUAACAUUGGCCGGUGCAGAGAAGAAAGAGAUCUUGACGCUAUGAGAGGAGAGCUUGUUAGAUAGCUGAACGAAUGGACUGAUGUGACCAAAGGCAAAAAAUGGAAACAUCACAACAUGAAGACGGUUGCUCGGGGUGCUUUCCUCUGCCUCCAUCUCAAAGCGAAUUGUAUGUGCAAUGGAUUUGGAACUUGAGGCUUCUAUUUAAUAAGGGAUUUUUUUAAUCGGGCAUUAAACAUUUGGUUGUUAAAAUGCCAACGACUUGGUGGGUGGGUUCUAACUGUACGGUCGUUG
Molecule: long non-coding RNA, 1755 nt
Filed under: Olea europaea subsp. europaea
Lineage: Eukaryota; Viridiplantae; Streptophyta; Magnoliopsida; Lamiales; Oleaceae
Source: RNAcentral